Molecule: ribosomal RNA, 400 nt
Filed under: uncultured soil bacterium
Lineage: Bacteria
Description: bacterial SSU rRNA
Rfam family: Bacterial small subunit ribosomal RNA
Source: RNAcentral
GGAGUGAACGCUGGCGGUAGGCCUAACACAUGCAAGUCGAACGGCAGCACGGUAAGAGCUUGCUCUUAUGGGUGGCGAGUGGCGGACGGGUGAGGAUACAUCGGAAUCUACCUUUUGGUGGGGGAUAACGUAGGGAAACUUACGCUAAUACCGCAUACGCCCUUCGGGGGAAAGCCGGGGACCAGCAAUGGCCUGGCGCUGAUAGAUGAGCCGAUGUCGGAUUAGCUAGUUGGUGAGUAAUGGCUCACCAAGGCGAACGAUCCGUAGCUGGGUCUGAGAGGAUGAUCAGCCACACUGGAACUGAGACGACGGUCCAGACCUCCGUACGGGAGCAGCGAGUGGGGAAUAGUUGGACAAGUGGGACGCAAGCCUGAUCCACGCCAUACCGGCGUGGGUAGAA